This 538-nucleotide ribosomal RNA is filed under the name uncultured bacterium. Its description in RNAcentral is "bacterial SSU rRNA". It matches the Rfam family "Bacterial small subunit ribosomal RNA", at positions 28 to 551 of the family's 1533-position model. The record is from RNAcentral.
AAUCAACGCUGGCGGCGUGCCUAACACAUGCAAGUCGAACGCGGUUAGUAGCAAUACUAACUGAGUGGCGAACGGGUGAGUAACGCGUGGGUGACCUACCUUCGAGUGGGGGAUAACGUCCCGAAAGGGACGCUAAUACCGCAUGACAUCCUGCCUUUGGACAGGCGGAGAUCAAAGCCGGGGAUCGCAAGACCUGGCGCUUGAUGAGGGGCCCGCGUCUGAUUAGCUAGUUGGUGAGGUAACGGCUCACCAAGGCGACGAUCAGUAUCCGGCCUGAGAGGGCGGACGGACACACUGGGACUGAGACACGGCCCAGACUCCUACGGGAGGCAGCAGUGGGGAAUUGUUCACAAUGGGCGCAAGCCUGAUGACGCAACGCCGCGUGGAGGAUGAAGGUCUUCGGAUUGUAAACUCCUGUUGCUCGGGAAGAAUGGCUCCGACCUAAUACGUCGAGUGUGACGGUACCGGGUGAGGAAGCCCCGGCUAACUCUGUGCCAGCAGCCGCGGUAAUACAGAGGGGGCAAGCGUUGUUCGGAAU